UACAGAGGGGGCAAGCGUUAUUCGGAAUUAUUGGGCGUAAAGGGCGCGUAGGCGGCCUGGCAAGUGGAAGGUGAAAUCCCUCGGCUUAACCGAGGAACUGCCCUCCAAACUGCCUGGCUUGAGUCCGGGAGAGGUGAGUGGAAUUCCCAGUGUAGCGGUGAAAUGCGUAGAUAUUGGGAGGAACACCAGUGGCGAAGGCGGCUCACUGGACCGGAACUGACGCUGAUGCGCGAAAGCGUGGGGAGCAAACGGG
This 253-nucleotide ribosomal RNA is filed under the name uncultured bacterium. RNAcentral describes it as "partial 16S ribosomal RNA". It matches the Rfam family "Bacterial small subunit ribosomal RNA", at positions 524 to 776 of the family's 1533-position model. The record is from RNAcentral.